CGCAAUGUCACAGUACGGAUUUUUCUUGUUCGGUUCGCUUUUGACACUUCUCGCUCCGGCGGACUCCUACGUAGUACUAACAGCAAAUUAUGACGACCUGAGGCGGAUCGCGCAGAAGUUUAUACCAGAAGACGUCGUUGACAAUAUCGCAGAUUUUUUAUCAAAAGCCACCAGUGGAAUCUCAGGUGCUAAUAAUGUCUCAAAAGAAAAUAAAGGAAACUUUGACAACGACAAAGAAGCAUCAGAAGAUUCGAAAA
Molecule: long non-coding RNA, 257 nt
Organism: Pararge aegeria (speckled wood butterfly)
Lineage: Eukaryota; Metazoa; Arthropoda; Insecta; Lepidoptera; Nymphalidae
Exons: 3
Source: RefSeq, a predicted model, not a curated record